RNAcentral lists this ribosomal RNA (497 nucleotides) under uncultured bacterium. RNAcentral's name for it is "bacterial SSU rRNA". It matches the Rfam family "Bacterial small subunit ribosomal RNA", at positions 15 to 507 of the family's 1533-position model. The record is from RNAcentral.
GAUCAUGGCUCAGAUUAAACGCUGGCGGCAUGCCUUACACAUGCAAGUCGAACGGCAGCACGGGGGCAACCCUGGUGGCGAGUGGCGGACGGGUGAGUAACACAUCGGAACGUGCCCUGGAGUGGGGGAUAACGCAGCGAAAGCUACGCUAAUACCGCAUAUUCUGUGAGCAGGAAAGCAGGGGAUCGCAAGACCUUGCGCUUUGGGAGCGGCCGAUGUCGGAUUAGCUAGUUGGUGGGGUAAAGGCUUACCAAGGCGACGAUCCGUAGCGGGUCUGAGAGGAUGAUCCGCCACACUGGGACUGAGACACGGCCCAGACUCCUACGGGAGGCAGCAGUGGGGAAUAUUGGACAAUGGGGGCAACCCUGAUCCAGCCAUGCCGCGUGUGUGAAGAAGGCCUUCGGGUUGUAAAGCACUUUAAGCGAGGAGGAAGGUUUUUGGUUUAAUACACUAAAGAAUUGGCGUUACUCGCAGAAUAAGCACCGGCUAACUCUGUG